UACGAAGGGGGCUAGCGUUGCUCGGAAUCACUGGGCGUAAAGGGUGCGUAGGCGGGUCUUUAAGUCAGGGGUGAAAUCCUGGAGCUCAACUCCAGAACUGCCUUUGAUACUGAGGAUCUUGAGUUCGGGAGAGGUGAGUGGAACUGCGAGUGUAGAGGUGAAAUUCGUAGAUAUUGGGAGGAACACCAGUGGCGAAGGCGGCGAUCUGGGAAGAUACUGACGCUGAGGUGCGAAAGCGUGGGGAGCAAACAGG
Molecule: ribosomal RNA, 253 nt
Filed under: uncultured bacterium
Lineage: Bacteria
Description: partial 16S ribosomal RNA
Rfam family: Bacterial small subunit ribosomal RNA
Source: RNAcentral